AUGACAAGGGUGGACUUGGUUUCAUCUCCAACAACAAGAAGUCCGAAAAGGAAUAAGGAACAAGACCAAGUCAAGAAUCCGGCCAACAUCACAUGCUUCAAGUGCAAGAAUGUUGGACACCAUGUGAGAUCUUGUCCAUUGAAGAAGAAGGCUUCAAAUGUGAAGCAACAAGGGAUGCGGCCUCAAGUUCAAUCUCAAGGUCAACCUCAAGUUCAAUCUCAAGGUCAACCUCAAGCUGAAGAAAGGCCACUACCAAUAAUGAACCAAGGAAAUGCUCCCCAAAUUGAGAAAGUAAAGAAGAAGAGAAGGGGGAGCACAUGUUGCUAUAUUUGUUGUGAG
Molecule: ribosomal RNA, 339 nt
Filed under: Triticum aestivum (bread wheat)
Lineage: Eukaryota; Viridiplantae; Streptophyta; Magnoliopsida; Poales; Poaceae
Description: partial small subunit ribosomal RNA
Source: RNAcentral